CUGUGAUUCAAUGGUAGAAUGUUAGCUUCCCAAGCUGAACACGCGGGUUCGAUUCCCGUCAGGU
Molecule: transfer RNA, 64 nt
Filed under: bovine gut metagenome
Rfam family: tRNA
About the family: Transfer RNA (tRNA) molecules are approximately 80 nucleotides in length. Their secondary structure includes four short double-helical elements and three loops (D, anti-codon, and T loops).
Source: RNAcentral